This 21-nucleotide unclassified non-coding RNA is filed under the name Dictyostelium discoideum. Lineage: Eukaryota; Evosea; Eumycetozoa; Dictyosteliales; Dictyosteliaceae. The record is from RNAcentral.
GAGUUGUUGACCACUGGAAUG